GACGUAGGAUGCAAGCGUUGUCCGGAUUUAUUGGGCGUAAAGAGUUCGUAGGUGGUUCGUUAAGUCUGAUGUUAAAGACUGGGGCUCAACCCUGGAAGUGCAUUGGAUACUGGCGGACUUGAGUGUGGUAGAGGCAAUCGGAAUUCCAGGUGUAGCGGUGAAAUGCGUAGAUAUCUGGAAGAACACCGGUGGCGCAGGCGGAUUGCUGGGCCAUAACUGACACUGAGGAACGAAAGCUAGGGGAGCGAAUGGG
This 253-nucleotide ribosomal RNA is filed under the name uncultured bacterium. RNAcentral's name for it is "partial 16S ribosomal RNA". It matches the Rfam family "Bacterial small subunit ribosomal RNA", at positions 524 to 776 of the family's 1533-position model. The record is from RNAcentral.